ACGGAAGGCAGCAGUGGGGAAUAUUGGACAAUGGGGGAAACCCUGAUCCAGCGACGCCGCGUGAGUGAAGAAGUAUUUCGGUAUGUAAAGCUCUAUCAGCAGGGAAGAUAAUGACGGUACCUGACUAAGAAGCACCGGCUAAAUACGUGCCAGCAGCCGCGGUAAUACGUAUGGUGCAAGCGUUAUCCGGAUUUACUGGGUGUAAAGGGAGCGCAGGCGGCCUAGCAAGUCUGAAGUGAAAUCCCGGGGCUCAACCCCGGAACUGCUUUGGAAACUGUUAGGCUAGAGUGUCGGAGGGGUAAGCGGAAUUCCUAGUGUAGCGGUGAAAUGCGUAGAUAUUAGGAGGAACACCAGUGGCGAAGGCGGCUUACUGGACGAUAACUGACGCUGAGGCUCGAAAGCGUGGGGAGCAAACAGGAUUAGAUACCCUGGUA
RNAcentral lists this ribosomal RNA (434 nucleotides) under uncultured Roseburia sp. RNAcentral's name for it is "partial 16S ribosomal RNA". It matches the Rfam family "Bacterial small subunit ribosomal RNA", at positions 341 to 792 of the family's 1533-position model. Lineage: Bacteria; Bacillati; Bacillota; Clostridia; Lachnospirales; Lachnospiraceae. The record is from RNAcentral.